GGGGAUACAAACUCAUGAUCAUCCAAUAGUUAUUAAUGACUAAUCGAAUACGACAUUAUCCAUUAAUUGAUUACAAAGUUAAGGAUAUAUUUAUAACAUAAAAAUUGCUAAAAAGGGGGAUAUGAACUCAUGACUGUCACGACUCGAGCCUACACCCUGGACGUGGCCGGCACUCGAGAACUAAUGCCGGUCCCCAAGCGAACCCUCAUAUUGGUUGACUACAAGCAGAAGACUAACUCAAG
Molecule: long non-coding RNA, 242 nt
Filed under: Solanum tuberosum (potato)
Lineage: Eukaryota; Viridiplantae; Streptophyta; Magnoliopsida; Solanales; Solanaceae
Description: long non-coding RNA (STUB_LNC008098)
Source: RNAcentral